This 320-nucleotide unclassified non-coding RNA is filed under the name uncultured fungus. Its description in RNAcentral is "partial contains small subunit ribosomal RNA, internal transcribed spacer 1, and 5.8S ribosomal RNA". The stretch from base 1 to 73 matches the Rfam family "Eukaryotic small subunit ribosomal RNA", at positions 1759 to 1831 of the family's 1831-position model. The record is from RNAcentral. Lineage: Eukaryota; Fungi.
GCAAACUUGGUCAUUUAGAGGAAGUAAAAGUCGUAACAAGGUUUCCGUAGGUGAACCUGCGGAAGGAUCAUUAAUGAAUUACACGGCAGGGUUGUCGCUGGCCUUUCUUAGGCAUGUGCACGCCUUGCUCAAUUCAUCCACUAUACCUCUGUGCACUCUUCAUAGGUUGGCUUAUAUAAAGAGUCGUUCGCAUGAAUGGCUUGGGCCUCUCUAUGCAUUAUACAAACUUCAUGUUUUAGAAUGUUACUUGCGAUAAUAACGCAUUAAAUACAACUUUUAACAACGGAUCUCUUGGCUCUCGCAUCGAUGAAGAACGCAGC